GAUAAACGCUGGCGGCGUGCCUAAUACAUGCAAGUCGAGCGAACGGACGAGAAGCUUGCUUCUCUGAUGUUAGCGGCGGACGGGUGAGUAACGCGUGGAUAACCUACCUAUAAGACUGGGAUAACUUCGGGAAACCGGAGCUAAUACCGGAUAAUAUUUUGAACCGCAUGGUUCAAAAGUGAAAGACGGUCUUGCUGUCACUUAUAGAUGGAUCCGCGCUGCAUUAGCUAGUUGGUAAGGUAACGGCUUACCAAGGCAACGAUGCAUAGCCGACCUGAGAGGGUGAUCGGCCACACUGGAACUGAGACACGGUCCAGACUCCUACGGGAGGCAGCAGUAGGGAAUCUUCCGCAAUGGGCGAAAGCCUGACGGAGCAACGCCGCGUGAGUGAUGAAGGUCUUCGGAUCGUAAAACUCUGUUAUUAGGGAAGAACAUAUGUGUAAGUAACUGUGCACAUCUUGACGGUACCUAAUCAGAAAGCCACGGCUAACUACGUGCCAGCAGCCGCGGUAAUACGUAGGUGGCAAGCGUUAUCCGGAAUUAUUGGGCGUAAAGCGCGCGUAGGCGGUUUUUUAAGUCUGAUGUGAAAGCCCACGGCUCAACCGUGGAGGGUCAUUGGAAACUGGAAAACUUGAGUGCAGAAGAGGAAAGUGGAAUUCCAUGUGUAGCGGUGGAAUGCGCAGAGAUAUGGAGGAACACCAGUGGCGAAGGCGACUUUCUGGUCUGUAACUGACGCUGAUGUGCGAAAGCGUGGGGAUCAAACAGGAUUAGAUACCCUGGUAGUCCACGCCGUAAACGAUGAGUGCUAAGUGUUAGGGGGUUUCCGCCCCUUAGUGCUGCAGCUAACGCAUUAAGCACUCCGCCUGGGGAGUACGACCGCAAGGUUGAAACUCAAAGGAAUUGACGGGGACCCGCACAAGCGGUGGAGCAUGUGGUUUAAUUCGAAGCAACGCGAAGAACCUUACCAAAUCUUGACAUCCUUUGACAACUCUAGAGAUAGAGCCUUCCCCUUCGGGGGACAAAGUGACAGGUGGUGCAUGGUUGUCGUCAGCUCGUGUCGUGAGAUGUUGGGUUAAGUCCCGCAACGAGCGCAACCCUUAAGCUUAGUUGCCAUCAUUAAGUUGGGCACUCUAAGUUGACUGCCGGUGACAAACCGGAGGAAGGUGGGGAUGACGUCAAAUCAUCAUGCCCCUUAUGAUUUGGGCUACACACGUGCUACAAUGGACAAUACAAAGGGCAGCGAAACCGCGAGGUCAAGCAAAUCCCAUAAAGUUGUUCUCAGUUCGGAUUGUAGUCUGCAACUCGACUACAUGAAGCUGGAAUCGCUAGUAAUCGUAGAUCAGCAUGCUACGGUGAAUACAAUCCCGGGUCU
RNAcentral lists this ribosomal RNA (1372 nucleotides) under uncultured bacterium. RNAcentral's name for it is "bacterial SSU rRNA". It matches the Rfam family "Bacterial small subunit ribosomal RNA", at positions 28 to 1381 of the family's 1533-position model. The record is from RNAcentral.